CAUGGUAGGAUUGACAGAUGAAGCUCUUUCUGAUUCUAUGGGUGGUGGUGCAUGGCCGUCUUAGUUCGUGGAUUGAUUUGUCUGGUUAAUUCCGAUAACGAACGAGACCUUUCCUACUCGUUACUUGCUCAUGGGUCUUAUCUCAUGGCACGCAAGUUCUUAGCGGGACUGCUGGCGUUUAGCCAGAGGAAGUUCGAGGCAAUAACAGGUCUGUGAUGCCCUUAGAU
Molecule: non-coding RNA, 227 nt
Filed under: Allomyces macrogynus ATCC 38327
Lineage: Eukaryota; Fungi; Blastocladiomycota; Blastocladiomycetes; Blastocladiales; Blastocladiaceae
Description: Eukaryotic small subunit ribosomal RNA
Rfam family: Eukaryotic small subunit ribosomal RNA
Source: Rfam by way of RNAcentral